This 1709-nucleotide non-coding RNA is filed under the name Oryza sativa Indica Group (long-grained rice). The record is from RNAcentral. Lineage: Eukaryota; Viridiplantae; Streptophyta; Magnoliopsida; Poales; Poaceae.
GGUCGUUUCUCUUCGGGCCCAACACGAGCCCAAAAGCUUCCCAUCUUCUCCCAGAAGAUUAGCGGCGGGGGAGGCGGCGGCGACCGGCGGCGACAGGGUGGCCGGAUUUGCGGUCCCGUCUCCCUCUCCUGGGCUUCCGCCACCACCCGCGGGCGCUUCUCCUCCACCGGGAAGCCUGCCGUCGCGCGACGGCGACUCCCUUCGACUGUUCGACGCAAUGCCAGGGCAGGCCUGGUGGAGCGGAGGCGGAGCCGCUUCUUCGCUGCUUGAGGCGAGGCGUUCAGGGUGUUCGGCGAAAUGCUCGAGAGUCGCUUGUCCAGUCCUGGUCGGUGGCGACUUCGGCCGUCGAAGAUCUCGUGGGCGGCGACUGUGCUUCCGCUUCGUGAGCUUCUGAAGGACGCAUACCUUUUGGUAAGGAGCAAAAGACUCGUCUCUGUGAAAAGAAACACAGCUUCUGAAGAUUUGCAAGAUCCACUUUGCAGAUACUACAUGCAAAGCAUCAUUCCGAGAGGUGCAUAUAAUUUAGAGCAAUCAUCGGCAUCGUGGUCAUGGUGUGUACAUGCUCUGGAAAACAACAUAGCACGACUGGUGGGUGAUUGGGCUGCCAGUGGGAGCUGGCUUAUCAUUUGGGACACCACAGGGGAGACUGGUUCUUGUGUAGACAUGGUCUAUGGACUAUGGAACGGACUGAAGCCACACAGAUCUUCAGGUGCAGCACAAACUGGAGAAAUCCUUCGGCCAGAACAGAAACAGCAUAGGGAACACAAGAUGAUUACAGAAGAUCGGCUGCACAAAGACCAAUUCUAGAAACAGCAUAGAGGCCAUUUCCAGUUCAGACGACUGUAGUGCUGUACUGCUGUGCUGCACGUCGUACACGUCGAAGUCUGAAGAGGAUUGCUGCACUGCAGAUCAAUCAAUGAUUUUCCAAUUUUCGUCAAAACAAGAAACCAAUGAUUUUCCAGGCUCAUGGACACGGUCUACCCAGGCACCCAUCCGUAGACGUGCAAAAUUAUGAAAAACUGAUGGCGAUCUGGCGAUGAAUGAAUGAAUGAUUCGGACCGCCGCUACGUUGUUGCUGCCGACGCGUUCGUUGGCCGUGUGUCCGUGUCUCGGUCUGCAGUCUUCAGUGUCUCAGUCCGAUCGGAAUGAAAUGGAAUGGAGGAGAUGGCGGUGUGAACUGUCCUUGGUAGUGGAGUUGUGGAUUGGCUCGUAUACGACAAAUGUAUUUGGAUAUUUGGCACUUGUUAUCGCUGGAAAAAAUAUAGUCAAGUCGUGUACGAGGAAAACUGCAUGCUACUACCAUACAUACGAAGGAUAUCAAGUUCUUGACAUUUUGAUAUGGAGCAUAGCAAAACUGUUCUAGUUCUCGUUUGAAAUGCGAGAAUGUGUUCACAAAAGGCUGAUUCAUUUUAUUUAAAAUUCACGCAAUAUUCCUCUGUUCGAAGGAAAGGUCUUGUUGUGUUUUUCUUUUUCUUUUUUUUUCUUUUCUAGUGCAGGCUGAUCUGCUGUGCUGAGUGCAGACCGUGGCAGAAGUGAUUUACUUUUCCUUGUAUAAGGGGGUGUUUAAAUCCGGGGUGUAAAGUUUUAGCGUGUCACAUCGAAUAUUAUAUAAGGUAUCGCAUGUGGCAGAGUUUACAUUACCGGUUGACCACUAAAUUUCGAACCCCAUCGGUAUCACCGUUUUCGAUAAAUUUUGAUCGGUUUUUGAU